AAGACUAUAGACCUGCGGAGUACCUGCGGAGGGAUCAUUACUGAGUUUCACAACUCUCUAACCCUGUGUGAACUGAAGUCUGGUUGCUCAGGCAGGCGGCCCCCGGGGGGAGCCGCAGCUUCUCUGAAGCGCCUGCCGGAGGAUACCUAAACUCGUUUUAACAUAUAAUCUUCUGAGUAAUAAAAAAAAAUGAAUCAAAACUUUUAACAACGGAUCUCU
RNAcentral lists this unclassified non-coding RNA (219 nucleotides) under soil metagenome. Its description in RNAcentral is "partial contains 5.8S ribosomal RNA, internal transcribed spacer 2, and large subunit ribosomal RNA". The record is from RNAcentral.